UAUUGGUGUCGGGUACGCAGCAGCACGUC
RNAcentral lists this small RNA (29 nucleotides) under Bombyx mori (domestic silkworm). RNAcentral describes it as "ovarian small RNA-24267". Lineage: Eukaryota; Metazoa; Arthropoda; Insecta; Lepidoptera; Bombycidae. The record is from RNAcentral.